AAGAGGGAACCCGGUGCGAAUCCGGGACUGCCCCGCAGCGGUGUGCGGGAACGAACGCCGUGCCCGGUCGCGACCGGGACCGCACUGGACCGACACGGUCUGGGAAGCGACGGCUAGUAGGAACGCUCGGCCUGUUGAGCCGGGAGACGUCCGCGAGUCCGAAGACCU
Molecule: non-coding RNA, 168 nt
Filed under: Haloechinothrix halophila
Lineage: Bacteria; Bacillati; Actinomycetota; Actinomycetes; Pseudonocardiales; Pseudonocardiaceae
Source: RNAcentral